Juglans regia (Persian walnut) is the source of this 1226-nucleotide long non-coding RNA. RefSeq lists it as uncharacterized. The transcript has 3 exons. Lineage: Eukaryota; Viridiplantae; Streptophyta; Magnoliopsida; Fagales; Juglandaceae. The record is from RefSeq and is a predicted model, not a curated record.
UAUUAUGUAGUUUUCAAUUGGAAAAGCACUUGAUAUAUAGGUGGUAACAUGGGGGCAAGGGGCGCGGUUGAAGUGGAUUGAGAUGACUCCAUCUUAUGCAUGUCGUGAAUGACGCUGACAGAGUUGAAGUCAUUGGCAUGUACAAGUAUACUCUUCCCCUUUACCCUGGGCUCAGUGGAUAUGGCAUACUAAUCUUCCCAAGAAGAUUUCUAUCAUGAUGUGGAAGGCUACUAAUAACUGCCUCAGUGUUGACGAGAAUAUUAGUAUGGUGGGUGUUUCAAUGGCCUCUAAAUGUAAUUGUUGUCAAAAGGGUCAUACUGAGGACCUGAACCAUGUGCUCUGCACGGGAGAUUUCGCUAGACACAUUUGGCGUCUAGCGGCCACUCAUCUAGGGGUUCAUAUGGCCCCUUUCUACACUUGGAAGGAUCAAACUAAUUUUUGGUUUCGUCGUGCGGGUAAGUCUUCACAGGUUAGAAUCAUCUUUAGCCUUCUGCCCUCUAUUAUUUCCUGGAAACUUUGGGAGAGGCGCUGUAAAGCCCGGUAUGAAGAUAAGGCUCACUCAAAAGAGUCGGUUUGGCACGCUAUUAAACUUUGGCUCCGGCGCAUCAUGGACCAGAUCAUGAAAGUACCAAUAAUUUUGCAGAACUCAGCAGCUUAUUGGAAGGUGUUCGCAGAUGUCACGCGCUUGGAUUUUAUCGUGUUCAAAUAGAGACUGACUCUCAACUGGUGGUCAAUUGGAUUGUUAAGAAUAAGUGCCCCAUUUGGUAUUUAGAAGACUUUUGGGAAGAUUUACAAGGACAUCUUAAUAGCCUGGAGUAUACAGUAACUCACAUUUUUCGUGAAGGCAAUGUUGUGGCUAACUUUCUAACUAAGUGUGGGGCUGAAGGUUUGAACUCUGAUUGGUCUGAUAUUCACAUGUUGCCUAGCCUGUUAAGGGGUCUUCUCCGCAUGGACAAAUUGGGUAUGCCCUACCUGAGGAUAUCAUAAGCCUCUUGCCAGGUACUGCAAGUCUGCACCACCAGAUCAGAAGAACGAGAUGAAGGAGCUAGAAGACUCUGGACUGAUUUGAUGAUAACAGAAUUCCUCAUGAUGGUCCUAGGUCUGUUUGUAAAUGCUAAAUGAAAUGCUUAUUAAAUGUAAAUUUAUUUAUCUUGCAACAGUUUGUAUAAAUAGGACCAAAGGUUCCCUACAUGGCACACGAUGGAAAACCGAUACUUGUAAAUUUC